GUGCUUGCUUUGGCAGCACACAUACUAAAAUUGGAACGAUAUAGAGAAGAUCAGCAUGGCUCCUGCGCAAGGAUGACAUGCAAAUUCGUGAAGCGUUCCAUACUUUU
Fukomys damarensis (Damara mole-rat) is the source of this 107-nucleotide small nuclear RNA. Lineage: Eukaryota; Metazoa; Chordata; Mammalia; Rodentia; Bathyergidae. The record is from Ensembl.